AUUUAUUGAUUAUUCUGAGUUGAAAGGAACAUGUUUAUUCAAAACCCGGGAAAGCAAGGCGAUAAAUUAAACAUGUUCAUAAAUUGUCAAGAAAAAAGUUCCUUUAAGUUUAGUUUAUCCAGACUUCUCAUUCUGCGCUUUUCUUUUUAAAUCAUUGACUUAAAUCGGCUCAUCACCUACGCAAUAUACAAAAUACAAAUACUAGCAUUUACGUUUAAUAAACAAAUGAAUCAAGCAUAACGGAUGAUGCCUCGUCUCCAUUAAUUUGAGGAUUUCAGCUUGUUAAAUGCAAAAUCUGUAUUUGCCAUUUACUGAAUUAAAACACAUACAAUUGGCAAUGUAUCUGAUCGAGUUGUUUAGUAAUCAAUUGUUCUAUAAAUUAGUUGGUUUCAAUGCGAUAUAAGAGAAUGUUGUCGAUAAAUAUGAUGGAUUUAAGUUCUCGGUUUCAAUUUCAGUAUGCGGAUUUAUACUUUCGAAAACGUAAAAAAAUGAAUAUGCAACAAGUAAAUCACA
This is a non-coding RNA of Schizosaccharomyces pombe (fission yeast), 513 nucleotides long. NCBI's taxonomy places the organism in Eukaryota, Fungi, Ascomycota, Schizosaccharomycetes, Schizosaccharomycetales, Schizosaccharomycetaceae. The record is from the annotation of a GenBank genome assembly.